GCCUUCGGGGUGUCGUGUUCAGCAUGUUCGACUCGUAACCCAGAGGUCCGUGGUUCGAUUCCCGGCGAAAGCU
Molecule: transfer RNA, 73 nt
Filed under: Stegodyphus mimosarum
Lineage: Eukaryota; Metazoa; Arthropoda; Arachnida; Araneae; Eresidae
Rfam family: tRNA
About the family: Transfer RNA (tRNA) molecules are approximately 80 nucleotides in length. Their secondary structure includes four short double-helical elements and three loops (D, anti-codon, and T loops).
Source: Rfam by way of RNAcentral